Molecule: ribosomal RNA, 405 nt
Filed under: uncultured bacterium
Lineage: Bacteria
Description: partial 16S ribosomal RNA
Rfam family: Bacterial small subunit ribosomal RNA
Source: RNAcentral
AUUGAACGCUAGCGGGAUGCCUUACACAUGCAAGUCGAACGAGUGGCGAACGGGUGAGUAAUGUAUCGGAACGGGCCCAGUAGCGGGGGAUAACUACGCGAAACGUAGCUAAUACCGCAACCUAUUGGAGCGGCCGAUAUCGGAUUGGCUAGUGGGUGGGGUAACGGCUCACCAGGGCGCCGAUCCGGAGCUGGUUUGAUAGGACGACCAGCCACACUGGGACGGAGACACGGCCCAGACUCCUACGGGAGGCAGCAGUGGGGAAUUUUGGACAAUGGGGGAAACCCUUGUCCAGCCAACCCGCGUGUGCUAUGAAAGCCUUCGGGGUGUAAAGCACUUUUGGCAGGAAAGCGGUACCUGCAGAAUAAGCACCGGCUAACUACGUGCCAGCAGCCGCGGUAAUUC